RNAcentral lists this long non-coding RNA (1070 nucleotides) under Equus asinus (donkey). RNAcentral's name for it is "lncRNA (ENSEASG00005027768.1)". Lineage: Eukaryota; Metazoa; Chordata; Mammalia; Perissodactyla; Equidae. The record is from RNAcentral.
UGGCCAAUGAGAGGGAAGCGGCAUCUGAGGAGAUUCUGGGAAAGUUUUCUGAUUUUAAUUAUAGACACCUGAAGGGAAUGAUCUCCUUUCCUACUUCUGAGCAUUGUUACCUACAUGUGAAUCUUGGAACUGCUGCAGUCUUAAUGAUACCUAAGAUACCAGCCUUGAGUGUGUCUUCAUUGAUUCUCGCCACACUUUCUGGAAUAGGAAGAACACAUGUGAUAAUUGUUGAUGAGUACACUGAUGGAUAGAACAUUGUAUAUUUCUCUAGGUCCUAUAAUCUGAUCACAACUUAUUGACUCCAAGCAGCAUAAUAUCACCAGUGUGAUGUGCCACAGGUCCUCACGAACUAAAUUAUGAUGUUGGGCUGGAGAGUUGUUAUACCCCUGACGUAAGACAGUGAAGGUGUAUUGCUGGCCUUGUCUGCUGGAAUCUAACUGCUCCUGGUGGUAUUUACUAACAGGACAUAACAAAGUCUCUUUUGGUUCUUGAGCAUUGUGUGAAGAUGUUAUUUUUGAAACUGCUGCAGCCAUCACGUAACUAAGAGGGAGUGAGACUUCACGGGUGGAAAGAACCUGGAUCCUUGAUGACACAGUUGAUUCAUUGAAUCAACCACCCAUCAAAAGCCCAAUCCCUACACUUGGUAUUGUAUAAAAUUAUAAGUAUUCUUACUGUUUAAGCGACUUUGAUUUGAGACUUCUGUUACUUGUAUUAGACUAUUUUAACUGAUACAAAUAUUGUCAGGAUUUGACAGGAAAUGUUUGAGUCAAUACGUCUUAGUGCAUGAGAAAAUCCUCUGGCAUCAUAUACUUUCGCGUGAUAUAUUGUUAUGAAGCAAGCUUGUGGUAGUGCCAGAACUAGAAUCCAGAUAAUCCUGAUUCCAAGUUCAUUCUCUCCUCGGCAUUACUCAAUGCAUGAAUAUCCAAAAUAUCCCUUAUUGUUCUGAUAUCAAGGGUCUAUUAUCCAUAUGUGCUUGCCUUCAAUUCUUACCUAAAAGAUGACUUGAAAUUAUUUUUUUAAUAUUUUCCUGACUAGUAACUAGUGGCUUCUAGAAAUGACGUUGUCUUAUU